UACGGAGGAUGCGAGCGUUAUCCGGAUUUAUUGGGUUUAAAGGGUGCGUAGGCGGCGAGUUAAGUCAGCGGUAAAAGCCCGGGGCUCAACCCCGGCCCGCCGUCGGAACUGGGUGCCUUGAGUGGGCGAGAAGUAUGCGGAAUGCGUGGUGUAGCGGUGAAAUGCAUAGAUAUCACGCAGAACGCCGAUUGCGAAGGCAGCGUGCCGUGCCGCCACUGACGCUGAGGCACGAAAGCGCGGGGAUCGAACAGG
Molecule: ribosomal RNA, 252 nt
Filed under: uncultured Bacteroidales bacterium
Lineage: Bacteria; Pseudomonadati; Bacteroidota; Bacteroidia; Bacteroidales
Description: partial 16S ribosomal RNA
Rfam family: Bacterial small subunit ribosomal RNA
Source: RNAcentral